Molecule: long non-coding RNA, 927 nt
Filed under: Callithrix jacchus (white-tufted-ear marmoset)
Lineage: Eukaryota; Metazoa; Chordata; Mammalia; Primates; Cebidae
Description: lncRNA (ENSCJAG00000076746.1)
Source: RNAcentral
AGCGGAGGGACAACUGCAACAGUCCCGAUCUUGGCCUCUCUCUCCUGGACUCUUGCUAACAGGCACAGGGUGAGUUGCUGAAGUUAUGCAGUCAGCAAGACACAGUGUUUUUGGCCCCUUGGAGCUUGCAUUAUAGUGGAGGGAGACACACCUUAGAAAGAGGACAAACAACCAAAAUAUGGCCCAGAUGACUGUCCCUGACCGGGGCUUAUGGUUGCCUGAAGGCUCGAUUUCAAACCAAGGUCUCUGCUCACCUUGGAGCCUUCAAUGUCUCUGGCUGGGAGGAGAGGUGCUGACCAAGCAGCUGUUCAUCAUAACAAGACAUCUGCAAACUAGCAAGCAGGUCCUCACCAAGAUCAGCUUGCACCUUGAUCCUGGAUUUCCCAGCCUCUGCAACUCAUCUCUCAUUUGUCCGAAGCAGGAAACCAAGAGCAGAGAGGACCAGAAGAGAAGACAUUCUAGAGAAAGAGCCAAGGAGGCUGCUGAUUCUGAAGCAGCUCCAAAGAGGGUGGUUUUGACAAGGGCCUGGUUCCUGAGAAAAUAAAGGAGGUCUGAUUCCAGAUAGCAGGCAUUUCCCAAGAAAGGACUCCAGCUUUGUGUUUGCCCCUAGCUCUUGUGUGGUGGUCUGCCUAUGGUGCCCUGUAUGGAUGCUUAACAUGGGGGAGUAAAUGCACAAAUGGGGUGCUGCACGAGUGUGAUGCCAGUGGACCCUACUGAUGAACUGACAGUGAGAACUGCCAUCCCCUCCCCAUCUUUAUCCCAGUUUUUUUUUUUAAAACCUAAAUCUAGGUUCUCACACUGUGGGAAAAUGUAAACUUUUAUCUGUAUUGAACUGUAAGGGGCAUCGUGGAGAGGACUGAGAGAGAGAGGUUCAGGAAAGAAGAUGGUUUUAGAAGAGAAACCCAAGAUCACAUGAGUGAUGGCAGC